UGAAAUCUGGUACCUUCGGUGCCCGAGUUGUAAUUUGGAGAGGGCAACUUUGGGGCCGUUCCUUGUCUAUGUUCCUUGGAACAGGACGUCAUAGAGGGUGAGAAUCCCGUGUGGCGAGGAGUGCGGUUCUUUGUAAAGUGCCUUCGAAGAGUCGAGUUGUUUGGGAAUGCAGCUCUAAGUGGGUGGUAAAUUCCAUCUAAAGCUAAAUAUUGGCGAGAGACCGAUAGCGAACAAGUACAGUGAUGGAAAGAUGAAAAGAACUUUGAAAAGAGAGUGAAAAAGUACGUGAAAUUGUUGAAAGGGAAGGGCAUUUGAUCAGACAUGGUGUUUUGUGCCCUCUGCUCCUUGUGGGUAGGGGAAUCUCGCAUUUCACUGGGCCAGCAUCAGUUUUGGUGGCAGGAUAAAUCCAUAGGAAUGUAGCUUGCCUCGGUAAGUAUUAUAGCCUGUGGGAAUACUGCCAGCUGGGACUGAGGACUGCGACGUAAGUCAAGGAUGCUGGCAUAAUGGUUAUAUGCCGCCC
Molecule: ribosomal RNA, 520 nt
Filed under: Saccharomyces cerevisiae (brewer's yeast)
Lineage: Eukaryota; Fungi; Ascomycota; Saccharomycetes; Saccharomycetales; Saccharomycetaceae
Description: partial large subunit ribosomal RNA
Rfam family: Eukaryotic large subunit ribosomal RNA
Source: RNAcentral